This 1163-nucleotide ribosomal RNA is filed under the name Haemadipsa crenata. RNAcentral's name for it is "16S ribosomal RNA". The stretch from base 511 to 1163 matches the Rfam family "Eukaryotic large subunit ribosomal RNA", at positions 1890 to 3094 of the family's 3401-position model. Lineage: Eukaryota; Metazoa; Annelida; Clitellata; Hirudinida; Haemadipsidae. The record is from RNAcentral.
AUAAAAUUUUAUUUCUUCAUUUAAUUAAAAAUAUUUAUAUAUUUAAGUACAGCAAUGGAAAAAUAUAUAGUUAAAGUAGAUACACGUACCUUUAGUAUAAUGGAUUUACAAGAAAUAAUAUAAUUAUUAUUUUCGAAAUCUAAAUGAGUUGUUUAUUUAUUGUUUAGAACUAAUAUUUAAGAGUUUAAAUUCUUUAUAAAAAUAAAUUUACAGAAGCUAUAAACUUAUCGCAUUAGAUUUUAACUAAUUUAAAUAAUAUUAAUAAUAUGUAAUUACAUAUUUUAAUAAUAGAUUUAUCAAUUAAAUAAUUUAUAUAAAUUAUUUUAUUUUAUAGGAUUAGCUAUAACUUUUAUUCAAUUUAUUUUUGCAGGUAUAAUUGUAGGCUUAAAAACAGCUAACUAAAAUUACUUUAUAGUAUCACAGGAAAAAAAAAUUAAAUUAAUUUUUUAUAAUGAUUAAUAGAUUAAUUAUUUAUGAUUAUUAAUUUUAAUAUGUAAAUAUGAGUAAUUAAUAAAAUUAUAUAAAGGAACUCGGCAAAUAUAGAAUUCGACUGUUUAACAAAAACAUUGUUAUUUGAUUUAUCAUAUAAAUAAUAAGCCCUGCUCAAUGAAACGUUAAAUUGCUGCAGUAUUAUAACUGUACUAAGGUAGCAUAAUAACUUGUUUAUUAAUUGUAAGCUGGAAUGAAAGGGUACACGAAAUUCUACCUGUCUCUAUUAUCUUUUAUUAAAUUUAUCCUUUAGGUGAAGAGACCUAAAUAUAAUUAUAAGACAAGAAGACCCUAAAAGCUUUUUUAAGCAGGUAAUUAUAUUACUAAAUUAAUUUGAUUGGGGUGAUCGUUUAUAUUUAAACAUUUUUGUUUUUUAUGAUAAAUAAAUCUAUUAAAGAUCCUUUUAUGAUCAGUAAUUAAGUUACUUUAGGGGUAACAGGCUAAUAUAAAAUUAAAGACCAUAUUAAAUUUUAUGAUUGGCACCUCGAUGUUGACUUAGAAUAACUGUUUAGUGCAAUCAAUAAAUAAGUUGGUUUGUUCAACCAUUAAAUUUCUACAUGAGUUGAGUUCAGACCGGCGUAAGCCAGGUUAGAUUCUAUCUAUAAUUUAUAUAUAAUUAUUAGUAGUACGAGAGGACCCUAAUUUUACUAUUAUAGUACUAAAAUUUAUAAUUU